This 45-nucleotide non-coding RNA is filed under the name Schistosoma mattheei. The record is from RNAcentral. Lineage: Eukaryota; Metazoa; Platyhelminthes; Trematoda; Strigeidida; Schistosomatidae.
AUUCAACUGACGAGUCCCGAAUAGGACGAAACACGUGUCCUAGAU